Molecule: unclassified non-coding RNA, 253 nt
Filed under: uncultured Nitrospira sp.
Lineage: Bacteria; Pseudomonadati; Nitrospirota; Nitrospiria; Nitrospirales; Nitrospiraceae
Description: contains 16S-23S intergenic spacer region
Rfam family: Bacterial small subunit ribosomal RNA
Source: RNAcentral
UACGAAGGUGGCAAGCGUUGUUCGGAUUUACUGGGCGUACAGGGAGCGUAGGCGGUUAGGUAAGCCUCUCGGGAAAUCUCCAGGCUCAACCUGGAAAGUUCGGGAGGGACUGCCUGGCUAGAGGACGGGAGAGGAGCGCGGAAUUCCCGGUGUAGCGGUGAAAUGCGUAGAGAUCGGGAGGAAGGCCGGUGGCGAAGGCGGCGCUCUGGAACGUUCCUGACGCUGAGGCUCGAAAGCGUGGGGAGCAAACAGG